ACUCCUACGGGAGGCAGCAGUAGGGGAAUCUUCCACAAUGGGCGAAAGCCUGAUGGAGCAACGCCGCGUGGGUGAAGAAGGUCUUCGGAUCGUAAAACCCUGUUGUUAGAGAAGAAAGUGCGUGAGAGUAACUGUUCACGUUUCGACGGUAUCUAACCAGAAAGCCACGGCUAACUACGUGCCAGCAGCCGCGGUAAUACGUAGGUGGCAAGCGUUAUCCGGAUUUAUUGGGGCGUAAAGGGAACGCAGGCGGUCUUUUAAGUCUGAUGUGAAAGCCUUCGGCUUUAACCGGAGUAGUGCAUUGGAAACUGGGAGACUUGAGUGCAGAAGAGGAGAGUGGAACUCCAUGUGUAGCGGUGAAAUGCGUAGAUAUAUGGAAGAACACCAGUGGCGAAAGCGGCUCUCUGGUCUGUAACUGACGCUGAGGUACGAAAGCGUGGGUAGCAAACAGGAUUAGAUA
This 460-nucleotide ribosomal RNA is filed under the name uncultured bacterium. RNAcentral's name for it is "bacterial SSU rRNA". It matches the Rfam family "Bacterial small subunit ribosomal RNA", at positions 335 to 784 of the family's 1533-position model. The record is from RNAcentral.